AUUGAACGCUGGCGGCAUGUUUUACACAUGCAAGUCGAACGGCAGCGCGGGCUUCGGCCUGGCGGCGAGUGGCGAACGGGUGAGUAAUGCAUCGGAACGUGCCCAGUAGUGGGGGAUAGCCCGGCGAAAGCCGGAUUAAUACCGCAUACGACCUGAGGGUGAAAGCGGGGGACCGAAAGGCCUCGCGCUAUUGGAGCGGCCGAUGUCGGAUUAGCUAGUUGGUGGGGUAAAGGCUUACCAAGGCGACGAUCCGUAGCUGGUCUGAGAGGACGACCAGCCACACUGGGACUGAGACACGGCCCAGACUCCUACGGGAGGCAGCAGUGGGGAAUUUUGGACAAUGGGGGCAACCCUGAUCCAGCCAUGCCGCGUGCGGGAAGAAGGCCUUCGGGUUGUAAACCGCUUUUGUUCGGGAAGAAAUCCUCUGGGCUAAUACCCCGGGGGGAUGACGGUACCGGAAGAAUAAGCACCGGCUAACUACGUG
This 484-nucleotide ribosomal RNA is filed under the name uncultured bacterium. Its description in RNAcentral is "partial 16S ribosomal RNA". It matches the Rfam family "Bacterial small subunit ribosomal RNA", at positions 28 to 507 of the family's 1533-position model. The record is from RNAcentral.